GAAAGAACCUGGCGGCGGCCUAACACAUGCAAGUCGAGCGGAGAAGGAAGCUUGCUCCUGUUUUGAGCGGCGGACGGGUGAGUAAUGCCUAGGAAUCUGCCUGGUAGUGGGGGAUAACGUUCGGAAACGGACGCUAAUACCGCAUACGUCCUGCGGGAGAAAGUGGGGGAUCUUCGGACCUCGCGCUAUCAGAUGAGCCUAGGUCGGAUUAGCUAGUUGGUGGGGUAAAGGCUCACCAAGGCGACGAUCCGUAACUGGUCUGAGAGGAUGAUCAUUCACACUGGAACUGAGACACGGUCCAGACUCCUACGGGAGGCAGCAGUGGGGAAUAUUGGACAAUGGGCGAAAGCCUGAUCCAGCCAUGCCGCGUGUGUGAAGAAGGUCUUCGGAUUGUAAAGCACUUUAAGUUGGGAGGAAGGGCAGUGACUUAAUACCUUGUUGUUUUGACGUUACCGACAGAAUAAGCACCGGCUAACUUUGUGCCAGCAGCCGCGGUAAUACAAAGGGUGCAAGCGUUAAUCGGAAUUACUGGGCGUAAAGCGCGCGUAUGUGGUUCGGCAAGUUGGAUGUGAAAUCCCCGGGCUCAACCUGGGAACUGCAUCCAAAACUGCUUGACUAGAGUACGGUAGAGGGUGGUGGAAUUUCCUGUGUAGCGGUGAAAUGCUUAGAUAUAGGAAGGAACACCUGUGGCGAAGGCGACCACCUGGACUGAUACUGACACUGAGGUGCUGAAGCGUGGCGAGCAAACAGGAUUAGAUACCCUGGUAGUCCACGCCGUAAACGAUGUCAACUAGCCAUUGGGAUCCCUUGCUCUCUUAGUUUGCCCACCUAACGCAAUAAGUCGACCGCAUGGGGAGUACGGCCCGAGGGUUAAAACUCAAAUGAAUUGACUGGAGCCCGCUCAAGAGGUGCAGCAUGGUGGUUUAGUCAAGCACCCCAAAAAACCUUAA
This 950-nucleotide ribosomal RNA is filed under the name Pseudomonas aeruginosa. RNAcentral's name for it is "bacterial SSU rRNA". It matches the Rfam family "Bacterial small subunit ribosomal RNA", at positions 26 to 974 of the family's 1533-position model. The record is from RNAcentral. Lineage: Bacteria; Pseudomonadati; Pseudomonadota; Gammaproteobacteria; Pseudomonadales; Pseudomonadaceae.